Molecule: transfer RNA, 86 nt
Filed under: Gemmatimonadota bacterium
Lineage: Bacteria; Pseudomonadati; Gemmatimonadota
Description: tRNA-Leu
Rfam family: tRNA
About the family: Transfer RNA (tRNA) molecules are approximately 80 nucleotides in length.
Source: RNAcentral
GCUCGGGUGGCGGAACUGGCAGACGCGCAGGAUUCAGGAUCCUGUGGGAAUUAUAUCCCGUGGGGGUUCGACUCCCCCCCCGAGCA